RNAcentral lists this ribosomal RNA (500 nucleotides) under uncultured bacterium. RNAcentral describes it as "partial 16S ribosomal RNA". It matches the Rfam family "Bacterial small subunit ribosomal RNA", at positions 30 to 523 of the family's 1533-position model. The record is from RNAcentral.
AUUGAACGCUGGCGGAAUGCUUUACACAUGCAAGUCGAACGGCAGCACGGACUUCGGUCUGGUGGCGAGUGGCGAACGGGUGAGUAAUGUAUCGGAACGUGCCCAGUCGUGGGGGAUAACGUAGUGAAAAUUACGCUAAUACCGCAUACGAUCUAUGGAUGAAAGCGGGGGAUCGCAAGACCUCGCGCGAUUGGAGCGGCCGAUACCAGAUUAGGUAGUUGGUGGGGUAAAGGCCCACCAAGCCAACGAUCUGUAGCUGGUCUGAGAGGACGACCAGCCACACUGGAACUGAGACACGGUCCAGACUCCUACGGGAGGUAGCAGUGGGGAAUUUUGGACAAUGGGCGAAAGCCUGAUCCAGCCAUUCCGCGUGCAGGAUGAAGGCCCUCGGGUUGUAAACUGCUUUUGUACAGAACGAAAAGGUUUCUACUAAUACUAGGAGCUCAUGACGGUACUGUAAGAAUAAGCACCGGCUAACUACGUGCCAGCCGCCGCGGUAA